Molecule: ribosomal RNA, 484 nt
Filed under: uncultured bacterium
Lineage: Bacteria
Description: bacterial SSU rRNA
Rfam family: Bacterial small subunit ribosomal RNA
Source: RNAcentral
AUUAGGCAUGCAAGUCGUACGAGAAAGUUGGCUUCGGCCGAUGAGUACAGUGGCGACGGGUGAGUAACGCGUGGAUAAUCUGCCCUUAAGUGUGGAAUAACGUACCGAAAGGCGCGCUAAUACCGCAUAAUGCCUGGCAACAUAAGUUGUCCCGGCCAAAGAAGGCCUCUGCUUGCAAGCUUUCGCUAAAGGAUGAGUCCGCGUACCAUUAGCUUGUUGGUAGGGUAAUGGCCUACCAAGGCGACGAUCUUUAGCUGGUCUGAGAGGAUGAUCAGCCACACUGGGAUUGAGAUACGGCCCAGACUCCUACGGGAGGCAGCAGUCGAGAAUAGUCUACAAUGGUCGGAAGACUGAUAGUGCGACGCCGCGUGAACGAUGAAUCCCUUCGGGGUGUAAAGUUCUUUUAUAUGUGAGCAGUGCUUCUUAUAUUAACAGUAUGGGGAGAGAGAUAUUAGCAUAUGAAUAAGCAACGGCUAACUCCGUG